GACGAACGCUGGCGGCGUGCUUAACACAUGCAAGUCGAACGGAAAGGCCCUGCUUUUGUGGGGUGCUCGAGUGGCGAACGGGUGAGUAACACGUGAGUAACCUGCCCUUGACUUUGGGAUAACUUCAGGAAACUGGGGCUAAUACCGGAUAGGAGCUCCUGCUGCAUGGUGGGGGUUGGAAAGUUUCGGCGGUUGGGGAUGGACUCGCGGCUUAUCGGCUUGUUGGUGGGGUAGUGGCUUACCAAGGCUUUGACGGGUAGCCGGCCUGAGAGGGUGACCGGCCUCAUUGGGACUAAGAUACGGCCCAGACUCCUACGGGCGGCAGCAGUGGGAAAUAUUGCACAAUGGGCGGAAGCCUGUUGCAGCAACGCCGCGUGCGGGAUGACGGCCUACGGGUUGUAAACCGCUUUCGCCUGUGACGAACCGUGAGUGACGGUAAUGGGUAAAGAAGCACCGGCUAACUACGUG
This 468-nucleotide ribosomal RNA is filed under the name uncultured bacterium. RNAcentral describes it as "partial 16S ribosomal RNA". It matches the Rfam family "Bacterial small subunit ribosomal RNA", at positions 28 to 507 of the family's 1533-position model. The record is from RNAcentral.